Molecule: ribosomal RNA, 438 nt
Filed under: uncultured bacterium
Lineage: Bacteria
Description: bacterial SSU rRNA
Rfam family: Bacterial small subunit ribosomal RNA
Source: RNAcentral
CCUACGGGAGGCAGCAGUGGGGAAUAUUGGGCAAUGGAGGCAACUCUGACCCAGCAACGCCGCGUGAAUGAUGAAGGUCUUCGGAUUGUAAAGUUCUUUUCUAAGGGAAGAAGAAAGUGACGGUACCUUAGGAAUAAGCCUCGGCUAACUACGUGCCAGCAGCCGCGGUAAUACGUAGGAGGCAAGCGUUAUCCGGAAUGACUGGGCGUAAAGGGUGCGUAGGUGGUUUGGCAAGUUGGUAGCGUAAUCCCGGGGCUCAACCUCGGUGCUACUACCAAAACUGUUGAACUUGAGUGCAGGAGGGGUGAAUGGAAUUCCCAGUGUAGCGGUGGAAUGCGUAGAUAUUGGGAAGAACACCAGCGGCGAAGGCGAUUCACUGGACUGUAACUGACACUGAGGCACGAAAGCGUGGGGAGCAAACAGGAUUAGAUACCCGGG